RNAcentral lists this ribosomal RNA (495 nucleotides) under uncultured bacterium. RNAcentral's name for it is "partial 16S ribosomal RNA". It matches the Rfam family "Bacterial small subunit ribosomal RNA", at positions 28 to 507 of the family's 1533-position model. The record is from RNAcentral.
GACGAACGCUGGCGGCGUACCUAAUACAUGCAAGUAGAACGCUGAAGGAGGAGCUUGCUCUUCUGGAUGAGUUGCGAACGGGUGAGUAACGCGUAGGUAACCUGCCUGGUAGCGGGGGAUAACUAUUGGAAACGAUAGCUAAUACCGCAUAAGAGUAGAUGUUGCAUGACAUUUACUUAAAAGGUGCAAUUGCAUCACUACCAGAUGGACCUGCGUUGUAUUAGCUAGUUGGUGGGGUAACGGCUUACCAAGGCGACGAUACAUAGCCGACCUGAGAGGGUGAUCGGCCACACUGGGACUGAGACACGGCCCAGACUCCUACGGGAGGCAGCAGUAGGGAAUCUUCGGCAAUGGACGGAAGUCUGACCGAGCAACGCCGCGUGAGUGAAGAAGGUUUUCGGAUCGUAAAGCUCUGUUGUAAGAGAAGAACGAGUGUGAGAGUGGAAAGUUCACACUGUGACGGUAUCUUACCAGAAAGGGACGGCUAACUACGUG